RNAcentral lists this transfer RNA (84 nucleotides) under Planctomycetota bacterium. RNAcentral describes it as "tRNA-Tyr". It matches the Rfam family "tRNA". Rfam says of the family: Transfer RNA (tRNA) molecules are approximately 80 nucleotides in length. Their secondary structure includes four short double-helical elements and three loops (D, anti-codon, and T loops). Further hydrogen bonds mediate the characteristic L-shaped molecular structure. tRNAs have two regions of fundamental functional importance: the anti-codon, which is responsible for specific mRNA codon recognition, and the 3' end, to which the tRNAs corresponding amino acid is attached (by aminoacyl-tRNA synthetases). tRNAs cope with the degeneracy of the genetic code in two manners: having more than one tRNA (with a specific anti-codon) for a particular amino acid; and 'wobble' base-pairing, i.e. permitting non-standard base-pairing at the 3rd anti-codon position. The record is from RNAcentral. RNAcentral also lists the same sequence under 2 other names. Lineage: Bacteria; Pseudomonadati; Planctomycetota.
UGAGCAGACGCCCAUUCGGCAGGGCACCGGGCUGUAACCCCGUGGUCGGCUAGUUCCGUGUUGGUUCGAAUCCAACCUGCUCAA